Molecule: ribosomal RNA, 376 nt
Filed under: uncultured organism
Description: partial 16S ribosomal RNA
Rfam family: Bacterial small subunit ribosomal RNA
Source: RNAcentral
GAAACCGUCCAAAAGUUAUUCGGAAUCACUGGGGCUUAAAGGGGGUGCGUAGGCGGCGCGGUUAGUCGGAUGUGAAAUCGUACAGCUCAACUGUACAACUGCGUCUGAAACUGCCGUGCUCGAGGAAGGCAGAGGUGAGCGGAACUCAGGGUGGAGCGGUGAAAUGCGUUGAUAUCCUGGGGAACACCGGUGGCGAAGGCGGCUCACUGGGCCUUUUCUGACGCUGAGGCACGAAAGCUAGGGUAGCGAACAGGAUUAGAUACCCUGGUAGUCCUAGCUGUAAACGAUGAGCACUAGAUCGAGGAGACUUCCACAUCUUCUCGGUCGUAGCGAAAGUGUUAAGUGCUCCGCCUGGGGAGUAUGGUCGCAAAGGCUG